GUGUUGCAGUUAAAGCUCGUAGUCGAAUGUAGAGUCUUGAGCGCCGAGAUGUCUUUUUUUAUUAGGAGACAAUUUUUUUUUGGCGUUCUAGAUUCUUUUUUGCCGUUUACUAUUUGUUUUUCGUUAAACGAUUUUGGUACAUCGGUAAUUUUUACUGUGAAUAAAUUAGAGUGUUCAUGGCAGGCCAAGGGCUUAAAUAUCUCAGCAUGGAAUAAUAGAAUAGGACUUCUGGUUCUAUUUUGUUGGUUUUUGGAGCCGAAGUAAUGAUUAAUAGGAAUAGUUGGGGGCACUCGUACUCCGUUGUCAGAGGUGAAAUUCUUGGAUUUACGGAAGACGAACAACUGCGAAAGCAUCUGCCAAGGAUGUUUUCAUUGAUCAAGAACGAAAGUUAGGGGAUCGAAGACGAUUAGAUACCGUCGUAGUCUUAACCAUAAACUAUGCCGACUGGGGGAUUGGUAGAUGUAUCAAUAACGACUCUAUCAGCACCCUAUGAGAAAUCAAAGUCUCUGGGUUCUGGGGGGAGUAUGGUCGCA
RNAcentral lists this ribosomal RNA (533 nucleotides) under Hemiselmis sp. RCC660. Its description in RNAcentral is "partial 18S ribosomal RNA". It matches the Rfam family "Eukaryotic small subunit ribosomal RNA", at positions 610 to 1133 of the family's 1831-position model. Lineage: Eukaryota; Cryptophyceae; Cryptomonadales; Hemiselmidaceae. The record is from RNAcentral.